CUGGCCCAGGGCUGGGGCUGGGGCUGCCGGUGUUCCAGCCUGGCGGCCUCCGUGAAGAUGAAUGUGAGGCUCUGCGCCCCUCGGUUGCUGCUUCUUUUCCUCACACGGUUUGGCUCCCAUGGGGCCCUCCGCAAGCUGGGCAUCUAUGUUGGCCUUCAGGUGGUGCUGGGGCUGCUCUUCCUGCUGGAGAAGCCCACUGGCUACCUGUCUCGCUCCUUUGACCUUGGCCGCCAGUUUCUAUUCUGCUGGACAGUGAACUGGCGCUUCCUCCCAGGGGCUCUCUGCCUGCACUGUGCCUUCCACCUGGCCCUGCUAGCCACCCACCUCACCUUGCUCUUGCUGUUUACCCUCUACUGGUGGCACAGGAUGGGGGAAUGUGUCUUGUCCCUGCUGAAGGAUCCCUCCAAAAGGAAGGCUCCACCCCAGCCCCUCACACCCAGCCAGAUCGUUUCUACCCUCUUCACCUCUAACUUCACUGGCAUCUGCUUCAGCCACCCCCUCCACUACUAGUUCUACAUCUGGUAUUUCCACACACUGCCCCACCUCCUGGGGGCCAGGACUGCACACUGGCUCACACACCUGCUCAGGUUGCUGGGGCUGGGGCUCAUGGAGCUCUCCUGGAACACACACCCCUCCACAUCCUGCAGCUCUGCUGCCCAGCAUGUGUGCCAUGCUGUCCUCUUGCUGCAGCUCUGGCUGGGCCCGCAGCUGUUCCCCAAGAGCGUCCAACACAGCAAGAAAGUUCCCUGAAAUCCACCCCUUUCCCUCCAGUGCACACUCAGGACCUGGGGAUAGACUCUGCCCUUCCAAAUAAACCUUGCCAAGUCCAA
RNA transcript from Mandrillus leucophaeus (drill), 830 nucleotides. It is a transcript of the gene named dol-P-Man:Man(5)GlcNAc(2)-PP-Dol alpha-1,3-mannosyltransferase pseudogene, with no coding region annotated. The transcript has a single exon. Lineage: Eukaryota; Metazoa; Chordata; Mammalia; Primates; Cercopithecidae. The record is from RefSeq and is a predicted model, not a curated record.